GUAGGUGGCAAGCGUUGUCCGGAAUUAUUGGGCGUAAAGCGCGCGCAGGCGGUUCUUUAAGUCUGAUGUGAAAGCCCAUGGCUCAACCGUGGAGGGUCAUUGGAAACUGGAGAACUUGAGUACAGAAGAGGAAAGCGGAAUUCCACGUGUAGCGGUGAAAUGCGUAGAAAUGUGGAGGAACACCAGUGGCGAAGGCGGCUUUCUGGUCUGUAACUGACGCUGAGGCGCGAAAGCGUGGGGAGCAAACAGGAUUAGAUACCCUGGUAGUCCACGCCGUAAACGAUGAGUGCUAAGUGUUAGGGGGGUUUCCGCCCCCCUUAGUGCUGCAGCUAACGCAUUAAGCACUCCGCCUGGGAGUACGGCCGCAAGGCUG
RNAcentral lists this ribosomal RNA (373 nucleotides) under uncultured organism. Its description in RNAcentral is "partial 16S ribosomal RNA". It matches the Rfam family "Bacterial small subunit ribosomal RNA", at positions 527 to 896 of the family's 1533-position model. The record is from RNAcentral.